Drosophila virilis is the source of this 5278-nucleotide non-coding RNA. The record is from RefSeq and is a predicted model, not a curated record. NCBI's taxonomy places the organism in Eukaryota, Metazoa, Arthropoda, Insecta, Diptera, Drosophilidae.
UGGAAAUGUGAGCUGACGGACCAUUGUUAACGGAUACUACAUUAACAUCUAUACGAAAGUAGUACAAUAACAAGUAGAAAAUACAUUUUGGAUCGAAGCUGACUGAUUCACGCUCAUAAGACAUUGCAAGAUGUCAUACACUUACCGACUACUAUUAAUAUAUAAUGGCAUUAGCUGAAUCCCUAACCCUAUUAUUAAAGAGACGAAUGCCUACACAAGUUUAUUAUGGCCCUAUUAAAGAAAUUAGAUCAAGCUAGAGAUAAGCUGGAAAACAGAAACGAGGUAUAGCCCACGGAUUAAGAAGUCUACUGGAGUAUGACAGUAACCGCAAACAAGGAUCCCAAUUAAAACCAAGAAGGGCAAACAACAAGAAUUAACUCUGUACAGAUUCAAUUCUGUACGUAAUGCAUACCAAAGAUAUAUAAAAGGGUUUUUUCGUGUACGGAUUGUAAACCUCCUUUGAACACACUUGGUGAAACGAAAAACUUCUAAAUUAAGUUAUUAAAUUUAACAGGCAUUAAUGGCAUCAUUUUCGUCUUAAAAGAUUACUUGAUAUCAUAUUUUCGUAUGCAAGGAAUAAAUCAAUUCAUCAGCAUAAAUUAAUCCUAAAGAUUGAGACAGUAUCAAGGGAAAGUCAUUCAUGACAGGAAGGGAGAGUAGCCGACCUAAAUGACUACCUUGAGAUACUCCAGAAGUCACCUGAAUACAUUAAGAAAACGUAUUUCUAAAAAGAUUCUUUGUCUUCUGUUACGCAAAUAGCCAAGAAAGCAUGUCUUCGGACGCAGUAGGGAGGGAUUAAAUGAGUCGAAAUUCUUACUGAGUAAACUCAAGAGGGCUAGUAGUUGUCAAUCUAUGAUUCAAAAUCCCAUAAUAGGGCUUCAAUAUAGCGGAUAAUUUGGAUAUACUUCUGUAAUUAUCGACCUCGGAUGAACUCUUGUAUUAUAAAAAGGGAUAUUUACAGACAACACAAAUAGUUUUAAAAUCGGUUUAAAUAACGCUGCAGCACAGUACCUGAGCACACAAGCGGAAACACCAUCAGGGUCCGAUAGGCUUGAUUGUGUUAAGGCCACCGAGUCGCGAACUUUCAGUACUAAAAGGAUAUAAGAUGUAUAUGACUUUUGGAACUGAUGAGAAGUAGGUAGUUUAAAAGAACAGCUCAACAGUUCCUGGAUCAGUAUUUUAGCUCUCAUCUUUAAACUCACCGAAUAUGGCAAAUAGAUGUCUUACGAUUAAAAUGAACAUACAUUGAAUUAUGUGCGAACUGAAGGCGAACGUAAUUCUUAAGUAUUUGAAAUUUCGCGUAUAAAAGUUUGAUUUAACCGCUGCAUUACUGAAGGAAUUAGAGUUUUUCCCGAUUUAUUAAGUUUUUAAUUACCUUCUACUUCACAUAUUACAAUAUCAAUAGUUCUCUUGAGGGAGGCCUACCAGACCUCACUAGAUGACAAAGAGCGACGCAGAUGUCAAACAGCGAGUGCGAGCUAUCAUAAAAUAGUUUAAUGGCAACAUCAAUGUCUGUAGUUGGGACUAAGUUGGCUGAAAGGGAUCUUCAGGAAGGAUAUGCUUCCAACAGAUAUGCUUUCUUGGCACCACCCCAUAAGGCCGAAGACAUAGGACUAUCGAAUCAGUGGCUGAGCAGCCCAUUUCAUCUCUAGAAGGAAACCGAAAAAUGCAAAGAACAAUGCCCCCACAUCGUGCUGAUUAGAAUAGACGACGUCCAACUUGGGUAGGACUAUGUGGCUCCUAGCCAAUAAUGUGCCCACCUACAGGGACAUCGUACAGAAACUGGAAGAAUAAAAAAUUAAGUUAUACUUAUAUCAGCUGCAGGAGGAUAAGCCCUAUCGCAUAGUAACCACGGAGGCCUGUGGUGGACCACUCCACACCGAGGGUUCAUCACCUGCAGAGCCAGGGUCAUACCGUUCUCUACGUACACUAUCCGAACAGCAGUCACCAAGGGGCCCAUGAAUAUUCACUUUUUUAACUUGCUGUCGGCGGCUAACAGCAAGGGGGCUCUUACCAUCAGGAAGCUGUGCAGCAGGUGGUCAAGUUCGAGACUACUCGAAGCCGGGAUGUGGUGCAAUGCCAUAGAUCUCAGGAGUACGGGCAUACGGCCACAUACUGUGGGAAAAAACACAAAUGCGUUAAAUGUAAGCUGGAUCAUCGAACUGCUGAUUGCGCACGGCUCAAUGAAGUUUCGGCAACAUGCGCCCACUGUGAUGGUAACCACCCUGCCAACUAUAAGGACUGCGAGUGCUUCGCUGAAUAUAUAAUGCGAUAGCCCUAACAGCCGCUGCCACCAGAAGGGGACUAGCUGCAUUCAGCAAAGAGAACAACGCCCCAGCUAUAGCCUGCGAAAAGGACCAGUGCACGCGACUUUUGAUUGCUGAAUGAAUAUUGACUCCUUAUAACCUGCAGCAACCCGUUAGGCCCAAAGGGUAAAUGUUUGGCAAGCCCGUACACUUGCAUAUCACAGUACCUGAGCACACAAGCGGAAACACCAUCAGGGUCCGAUAGGCUUGAUUGUGUUAAGGCCGCCGAGUCGCGAACUUUCAGUACUAAAAGGAUAUAAGAUGUAUAUGACUUUUGGAACUGAUGAGAAUUCUCUUGAGGGAGACCUACCAGACCUCACUAGAUGACAAAGAGCGACGCAGAUGUCAAACAGCGAGUGCGAGCUAUCAUAAAAUAGUUUAAUGGCAACAUCAAUGUCUGUAGUUGGGACUAAGUUGGCUGAAAGGGAUCUUCAGGAAGGAUAUGCUUCCAACAGAUAUGCUUUCUUGGCACCACCCCAUAAGGCCGAAGACAUAGGACUAUCGAAUCAGUGGCUGAGCAGCCCAUUUCAUCUCUAGAAGGAAACCGAAAAAUGCAAAGAACAAUGCCCCCACAUCGUGCUGAUUAGAAUAGACGACGUCCAACUUGGGUAGGACUAUGUGGCUCCUAGCCAAUAAUGUGCCCACCUACAGGGACAUCGUACAGAAACUGGAAGAAUAAAAAAUUAAGUUAUACUUAUAUCAGCUGCAGGAGGAUAAGCCCUAUCGCAUAGUAACCACGGAGGCCUGUGGUGGACCACUCCACACCGAGGGCUCAUCACCUGCAGAGCCAGGGUCAUACCGUUCUCUACGUACACUAUCCGAACAGCAAAGUCACCAAGGGGCCCAUGAAUAUUCACUUUUUUAACUUGCUGUCGGCGGCUAACAGCAAGGGGGCUCUUACCAUCAGGAAGCUGUGCAGCAGGUGGUCAAGUUCGAGACUACUCGAAGCCGGGAUGUGGUGCAAUGCCAUAGAUCUCAGGAGUACGGGCAUACGGCCACAUACUGUGGGAAAAAACACAAAUGCGUUAAAUGUAAGCUGGAUCAUCGAACUGCUGAUUACGCACGGCUCAAUGAAGUUUCGGCAACAUGCGCCCACUGUGAUGGUAACCACCCUGCCAACUAUAAGGACUGCGAGUGCUUCGCUGAAUAUAUAAUGCGGUAGCCCUAACAGCCGCUGCCACCAGAAGGGGACUAGCUGCAUUCAGCAAAGAGAACAACGCCCCAGCUAUAGCCUGCGAAAAGGACCAGUGCACGCGACUUUUGAUUGCUGAAUGAAUAUUGACUCCUUAUAACCUGCAGCAACCCGUUGGGCCCAAAGGGUAAAUGUUUGGCAAGCCCGUACACUUGUAUAUGUAGGUUAACUGACUGAUCACUUAAAUGAUUUUAUGAGUAGCGGGUCUUUAUGCAAAAAUUAAAACCUUUAAAAUAUUCAAAUAUACCAAACAAAAACAAGUAAGAGGUUCUAGUCGGAAGAUCCCGUUUAGGGGAUACUCUGAACUCUCUUAUUCCAACACCAAAUGCAGCUCGCGCUACGCGCUCGUUUGUAUUAAAAAGGAUAAUAUAAAAAAAUGUUACAUUGCUUGCUGACGACUCACCAGCCAAAAAAAAAAGUUUCUCCGGUUGGGCUCGAGCUCGCGACAGACCGCACCACAUGCCACCGCCUCUACUCAAAAGCCACACCAAAAGUUGAAUUUCAGUGAGAAAAAACGAAUUUAAAUGGCAGCACAGAAAACAAUACAAUGGGAAUUACAAUGAUAGAAUUCAAAUUAUAUCUAUUUUAUAGUAUAUAAUUAUAGUAUUAAUAAUUUUAUUGCCUUAUAUUAAUAAGCUUUUUCAUUCACUGUUCAAUUCCAGCCCGAGGUAAUGAACACGAACAUAAUUAAAUUUUAUGUUGCACCUAUGAACUGUUCAUUCACACCAUUUCGUGUGUGUGUCUCUGUUUAGAGCUCGAAAUUCAGAAACCCCAAAAACUUCAUAUCUUGUCGAAGUCAGGUAACAGGUACAUAUGUAUAAAUGUUUCUAUUCAUAAACAAAAUAAGUGUGUGUGCUGGAAUAGCAGGUCCAAGGAAUAUUAAAUGCACACAUUCCAACGCUCAGGUACCCUUACUAUCGAUACCGAGCAUAAAUACAAGAACUUCGCAACGACAUGGCACAACCCUUCAUUAUUUCAUAUAACUCGUCCCUUCAAAAGGGCAGAAAUGAUUCCGACAUUAGAUAAAAAAUUGAAUUUGUGUGUAUUGUUGCUCGUGCGGAAACAUACACACACAUACAUAAUGAAGUAGCACUGAGAGUAAGACAAUGCAGUUUCCUGAAGUGGGGUCGAAAUAAAAAAUGGCGAUGCCUUUCUAUUGCACAAAUCAUAAGUAUGAAAGUAAGCCAAAGCAGCUUCCUGUAGUGGGAGCGAGAAAAAGACAGCGAUGCCGUUCUACUACACAAAUCAUAUGUAUUACUUACUCCCCUUGCUGUCUAAGCAUGCAUCAUAGUUAGGGCAGCAAUCUCCCCUGUUCUCAAAAUGAAGGUGGGUGUCCCUUAAGGAAACGUAUUAGGCACCUUUCUCUACAAUUUGUACACGGCAGACAUCCCCACUCUGUAUGACAUACUCGUGUUUGCUACCCCAAGCCAACACCUGAUGGCCACUGCGAGAAUGAAGCCACUGACGGGGCCAACGAAUACAAUCACUUGCUUGAGAGAUGGGCACGAAGGUGACGAGGAGACGAUGCAGUCUUUUCAUAUUUUUCCACGAUAAAGCCUCAUGGCCCAACCAAGCUUGACGAAAUAUCACACGAGACAAUCUAAUAAACGUUUAUAAUAAAAAGGGAGAAGAUGAACGUACUAAGGGAGAAUUUAAUGAUUUGGUAUUGGAUUAGAGCUCUAUUAAAGCGUUAGCAUCGCGAUUAAAGGAGCGAAACAUCAACGGAACCGAUGAAGGAUGAGCCUUCUAUUUGGAAUGACUUCUGCGAAUAAGAAUUAAG